This 6308-nucleotide long non-coding RNA is filed under the name Brachypodium distachyon (stiff brome). RNAcentral describes it as "long non-coding RNA (BDIS_LNC003782)". The record is from RNAcentral. Lineage: Eukaryota; Viridiplantae; Streptophyta; Magnoliopsida; Poales; Poaceae.
CUGCUGGAUGUUUUGUCUAUUUUUGUUGUGAUUUUAGAUUCCUGAGUUGGCACUUGGUGGCGAGUGAGUGUAUUUGUACAUGAUUGCUCGGCAGAAGUGAGUAUCGUUUGUUUACCUAGGGGAAUCUGUAUCAAGCAGGGCUCAGCAAUGUCCACACUGUACUGGAUUGUUUCUCGUCUUUCAUGGGAGUGGUUCUGCAGUUGACUUAGUAGAUUUGAUGCCAGAUAAUUUAGUGGAAAAAUCUUAGUCGCACUAGUUUUUUGGUUGCUUACGAGUUCUAUUGUUAUACUGUUGUUCUGUGGAAUGGACUAUUGUGCAAUUGGCUUUAUGGAAGACACGUCACACAAUUAUCAGGGGCACUAUGCAUUUUUUAUAUACCUGUUAGGAGAGGCUGCAGUUUCCUUGUUUUAGUCUGAUCCCAGCUUCUGUCAAUCAAUGCAGGUAGUGAAUAUGUCAGAUAGUACGUUGCAAGAUCUCAACCUAGCUCAAUCAGCAGAGCUGGAGAAAAGCAAAGACAGUGUUGCGAAACCGUGCAACACUAAGCCUGUGUUGAACGGCAACAAACGUGUCGACAAGGAAGAAAAUGCUCCGCUUGCAUGUCCUGAUGCUGUGACUAAUGGAUGUGAGGCUGCAGUUGUAGAUGUUGAGUAUAUUGAUUCUGAGCAUCUGAUAGAUCUCCCAGAUGUUGACACAAGCUUUAGUGUAUGCAACUAGUUAUUCCAUUUGUGAUUUUUUGUUGGAUACUUAUAAAUUUUCUUCAGAACUAAGAUUUCCAUUACCUAUUGGCUGGCAGACGUUGCUUGCAAGGUUGGAUUCAAAGGACUGGAUCAAGACAUGUGAGGCCCUUAAUAAUGUUCGUCAGUUAGCAAUAUAUCACAAGGAAAGGUUGCAGGAGCUGCUGUAAGUUGUUUCUAUUGUUUCCUGGAAAAACCGUUUGAUAAUGACAUCACUCAUCGAUCCACGUUGCUAUGAAAUUGUACUACAUCUCUUCUGUUAAUUGUUUGAUAUAAACCAUUUGAAUUACAGGGAGCCUCUAGUUCCUCUUAUUGUGAAAUCUGUGAAGAAUCCAAGGAGUGCUCUAUGUAAAACUGCGCUUAUGACCUGUGCUGACAUCUUUAAGGCAUAUGGUGAACUAAUGGUCGACUCAAUUGAUCUACUGGUGUGUUUCCCAUUUUAAAAUAGUCUAUUCACAAUUUCACUUGUUUGGUUUUCACACUAAUUAUGAAGUCACUUAAUUCAUGUUCUCUGUCAAAUGUGUACACAGCUAAUGCCGUUGUUUCUAAAAUCUUCUCAAGACAAGCGCUUUGUUUGUGAAGCUGCUGAGGCAGCCCUUAUAUCAAUGACAAGCUGGAUCUCGCCUUCUAUAUUGCUACCGAAGAUGCAGCCUUACCUCAAGAACAGGAAUCCACGAAUUCGAGCAAAAGCAUCAGUUUGUUUCAGUAAGAGCGUACCACGACUUGUAAGUGAAACUCUCCCUGAAGAUUUACUUAAGAUCCCAGCUUUCUUUGCCCCAAUGAUUAUAUCAGAUUAUCUCCAAAGGAACCCAAAGAGAGGCUUCAGGAUUAAGUAUAUAUUCAUGUUGUGAUUUUGUCUAAUGCCCCAAAAUCUCAACUUGAUACAGUUAUAUAGAUGGAUAAUUUGAUCUCCUUGUGCUAUUCUUAUCUGUCCAUGAUCCUAGUUAGAGUUUAUAUGGAGGUUCUUCCAGAGAUUUUCUGUUUAUUUAGAUAUGCAGUUGCUUGGAUUGAAAAUUCCGUGUGAUAAUAUGGAGCCCCGAGGCCAGACCUUAUCCACACAAAGAUUUAGUGCAUGUGGUGGAACAUUGAUUUGGUGAGGAUAUUAAAAUGGCCAGUGUAUGUUUGUUCAAAGUGCUUCAUAUCCUUUCAGUAAUUUUCAGCAGGGUGACAUUAGCUGCUCAUAAUAAAUUAUUAUUUGGUGCGGAUCUGUAUGCACUGACUCCUCUUGGUUGCUGUUCUAAAUAUGAGAAAUACAACACUUCAGUUGUUUCAUAAUAGUAACUUCUUUUUCUGACAGGGUGUGGAAGGAAUCAAAGAAUAUGGAAUGGAUAAGCUCAUCCAGGUUGCUGCAACCCAGCUCAGUGACCAGCUUCCAGAAUCGAGGGAGGCUGCACGCAAACUGUCAUUGGAGCUACAAGCAUUCUACGAGAAGUCUCAGGCCUCAAGUUCAGGCGAAGAUGAGAGCGUGCCGGCUGCCUCACCAGAAGCUGAAACCUGGGAGGCUUUCUGCCAAUCCAAGCUUUCCGCACUAAGCGCCCAAGCAAUCCUCCGCGUCACCUCUACAACAAAAGAAACCUCAACGACGAAAGACGGUGUAACCGUGAGUGUCCCUUUUGCCCUGAAAGAAGGCGGUGGCCCUGUUACCCCCAAAGAAGGUGAUGUCCUUGUUGCUCCGAAAGAGGGUGCCGCGGCAGUGGGUUGCUAGCAUCGGGAGGUGGCUGCUGUGAUUUUUCGCACAUCCAAUUCACGUAUUUUUGCUGUACAUGGUUUACGGUUGCUCCGUCAUCGAAUUUGCUGGGUUGUCUGCACUGGAGUUUCUUCAGGUUUUAUGCCUCCGGUGUUAAUAUUGGUCCGAGAUAUAGUCCCCUUGUUAUAGUCGAGCUUACAAUCCUUGGGUUCCACUGCUUGUGCUUGGCAAUGGUUGGUUCUCCGGUAAUUCAGUCAGGCGUAUGUAGAAUUUCAUCCACCGUUCCAUAUUUGCUGACAGUGUUAUUACACAGUGCACGUUUGUGUUCUUUUGCUUUUGCUCUGUAUACUUAGGUUCCAUUUGUGUGUCUACCCUACCAGUACGUGGUUUCUGCUGUAGAAUGUACACGAUGGUAACCAAAAUGCCAGGAGCCAGUCCCUGUACGUGAAAAAGAUGCACAUGCAUCGCAAGUGCUGGCCGCAGAGCAAGCUGCGCCGAUGAUAGCGUUUGGUUCAUGAGAACAUUGAAUCGCAGUGCAGAGACGCAUACUACAUUGUGAUUUCGUGAUUUCUUUUGAAAAUCAAAUGUACAUGUUCGUUUCUAGUACGGAACCUACACUUGCACGCAAAUUUCACUGGCAGACAGCGAACGCAGGGCAGGCUCCUCAGAGGGUGGGGCCUGCCCUGGGCGUGACCUCCUCAGCUCUCUCACAAUCUCACAUGGAUGUGGAACGGAAUGGAAUCCCUUAAUUAUUGGCUGAUUAUUAUGGGGAUCCAAUGAGAACUUUGCGUCUAGCAUGACCACCAUUUUGCAAAACAACGUUAAGCCUGCACUUUGGUUGCAUUCUGACGUCAUUUUUUAAAAAAAAGUUUGCACUUACUCCACAUGAAAUACCCAGAUCCCGAGGCACAUCGAUGCAAUUUUGCGUUGACCAAGUCCAACUGACCAAAACACAUAACAGGAGCAGCACAAUCUUCCAAAAACAAAAACACGGUGCCAAAUGUCAACAAAAGAAAAUAUCUUCCAAUAAAAAAAGGUAGCAGCAGAGCGGAGUAUAACCUAUGCCAGGCUCGCCGCACAGCCCAUAUUUCCAUCCAGCCAUCCAAGAUGACAGUAGCAGAAUGCAAGUGAGGACGAGGAACCGGAUCAAUCAGCCUCAACCAAUCCCCCACAAGCAGCGGGAGCGAACUGCCGCCACUGCCUCCCCUUCCUCCUCGUCGGCGCAGGUAAACCCCUCGCGAAUCCCGAUCCCUCCUCCUCACGCGCGCAGCAGCAUUAUUCGCGCCCUCCGGAUCUGCACCCCGCUCCCCCGUGCGAACGGCGUGAUCUACGCUGCCUUCCCCUCUUUGUUUUUUCGGUGCAGUGAUUUCUUAGGGGUUGGGAUAGAUCUCACCGAAUUUGGUUAGCGUAGAUGGAAUGGUGAACACAGGGUUAGUGCCUCUGCGGUUCUACCAGUGGCCGCGGCUGGGGUCAGCGGGCGGAGUCGGAGAUCUAUUUAGUUCGUUCAAAGUGAGUUCGAUGCGAUCUGGAGAUUGUUUCAGCGUGGUAGAUGCGCAUGAUCUCAAGGUCAUGGUGCAUUAGCGAAGGACAAAAAAAAAUUGAGGUGGGCCAAUUUCUAUCCUAACACUAUGUGUUAAUAUAGAUAUCACAUUUAAUAUUUUUAUAGGAUUACAAAAUAAAUUUGGUUUUUCAGACUUUUUAGGAUGUUUUUUUUGUUGGUACAUUUAAUGAUAUAUUGUACAGUGAUAUUUAUGUUAAAUAUUAUUUUUUAUCAUAUUAUAUGUCAAAUCAAUCAUAAUCGAAAGAUCAUAAUACAAAUAUUUAUAACAUAGAAUAUAUGACAAUUAUUAUGAUUUGCAAACAGUUCUUCGGUGGAGUGAGCAAGGAUCGACAACUCAAAUCUAUAUAAGCGUAAAGUUAUUUUUAUAUUUUUCUUGCAAAGAUAUCUUCAUACUUACCGCCUUAAAAAUAUCAAGUAGAUAUUUGGCAUAAUCACAAUACCUUGAGAGAUAUGCCAUCUUAUGAGAAAGAACUACACAAUCUGAAACAUAUUUGUGAGUCUGUGAAAAUCAGAACUCAUAAAACAAUAAUACACCACGUGGACAUGGUUAUCAUAUCUACUGCCAUUAAGUAAGAUGAUUAUCUAUCAACUUUCAUUAAUUAAGAAAUACGAGUAAAGAUACGUCGGUUAAUACAUCAAUGAAUAAUCAUACAUGGACAUCAACAGUAAAUAACCAAAAUAAGUAAGAGUGCAGAAGUUGCGUCUUCCGGAGAACCAAUCUUUGCAGGCUAUAUCGUCGUCGAUUGCGCAAAGUCACGUUGGAACGCCACACACACACCACCUCACACGGGGCGUUGCCGUUGAAAACUGGCUGCCGAUGUAGGCGACAAUUGACCCGUCAUCACUGCCUCCUACGACGUCUUUCUCAGAUCCCGUCCAAAUGCAUAGCUUGGCAAGUCAUCGUCAUCGCUGCCUCUAAUGAUACAGAGUUAAAUUAGUUGAAAUUUUAUAGAUUUAUUUUAUAUAGAGACGCAAAUACAAAUUCUAAAAGACCAAACAAAUUUACAUCUAACAAUGAUUUAAUAAUUUGUAUUAAAAUUAAUCCGAAUAGAAAAUAACUUGAUGCAAGGGUUACGGUAUGUAACACGAGUUUGUCUUUCUUUCCUCCAUAUUUUUUUUUCAUCCAUGUAUUCUUGAACAUUAUGAGUAAGUUUGUCUUUUUUUCCUCCAUGUAUAAACAACCUGUUAUUCAGGUUUAUUACUCCUUGUUAGUUGGCCCAGGCGCCCAGCUAACCACGUUACCCCCUCUCCCCAUCCCAUCUACUUCUUCUUGCCGAGCGACUCGGCGACCCAGCCCCCUCGCUCCGUGCAUCUUCUUCCUCCUCGCGCGAGCGCCGCCACCCAUCCCGCUGCCGAACGCCCGAGUCCCCUAGCUCGUCUUCCUCCUCGCUCGAGCGCCUCCACCGCAGGUUGAUCUCCACUUCGAUUCUCUCGCUCCCGACCGUUUCUGCUCCCAUCACCCCACGAACGGAUUCCGCCCUUUAGAUCCCCGUUUCAUAAUCUUCCCCAAUUCGUAACUGAGGCAAAAAUCAAGGUAGGGCGGCCGCCCUACCUUGCCCUACUGGGUCCUCCGCCCGUGUCAUGGUGUGAAUCAGUCGCGGUAGUGAGUGGCUUUGGAAGUAGGUUCAUGACACGCGCUCGGUGAUGCUUCGGUUGUUUGAGUUUGACUGUACCAAGUCACUGAUCUAGUUCAUUGUGAAUUCUAGCGUGGCAGUAGUACUGCUGCUGGAUGUUUUGGCUAUUUUUGUUGUGAUUUUAGGUUCCUAAGUUGGCACUUGGUGGCGAGUGAGUGUAUUUGUACAUGAUUGCUCGGCAGAAGUGAGUAUCGUUUGUUUACCUAGGGGAAUCUAGAUCAAGCAGGGCUCAGCAAUGUCCACACUGUACUGGAUUGUUUCUCGUCUUUCAUGGGAGUGGUUCUGCAGUUGACUUAGUAGAUUUGAUGCCAGAUAAUUUAGUGGAAAAAUCUUAGUCGCACUAGUUUUUUGGUUGCUUACGAGUUCUAUUGUUAUACUGUUGUUCUGUGGAAUGGACUAUUGCGCAAUUGGCUUUAUGGAAGACACGUCACACAAUUAUCAGGGGCACUAUGCAUUUUUUAUAUACCUGUUAGGAGAGGCUGCAGUUUCCUUGUUUUAGUCUGAUCCCAGCUUCUGUCAAUCAAUGCAGGUAGUGAAUAUGUCAGAUAGUACGUUGCAAGAUCUCAACCUAGCUCAAUCAGCAGAGCUGGAGAAAAGCAAAGACAGUGUUGCGAAACCGUGCAACACUAAGCCUGUGUUGAACGGCAACAAACGUGUCGACAAGGAAGAAAAUGCUCCGCUUGCAUGUCCUG